This is a long non-coding RNA of Lathyrus oleraceus (garden pea), 2446 nucleotides long. RefSeq lists it as uncharacterized. The transcript has 2 exons. Lineage: Eukaryota; Viridiplantae; Streptophyta; Magnoliopsida; Fabales; Fabaceae. The record is from RefSeq and is a predicted model, not a curated record.
AUUAGCUACUCAUUUUAAUCCUAUACUUUAACAAGAAAUGAAAUUUAAAAAAACAAAAAAAAAUCCAAUUGACUUAAUAAUCUAUUCCUAUAUUUAUUACUAUUAUUGUUAUGAAUCUAAACCCUGAAAAAACAAAUAAAUAAACGCAAUUCAUAUUUUAAAAAAAAACUAGGGUGUAUAGAGUAAACAAGUGGGGAAAAAUCCUAAGGAACAAGACCAAGGCCCAAAAAGGGGCUAACCCAUCACCAACUCGGCAGAAAGUACAGGAAGUGGAACGAUCAGCACUACCCAGCCGCCCAAAUUUCUCAAAGCUACACGCAGUGUAUUAAAUGACAGCUAUUAUGGCAUGGUAUUGAAAAGGCGUGAAGGAAUUUGGGGAAUAUCGAUGUGUAACUUCAAAAAUAAUUAUCAUUAAUAAUAUUAAACAAAAAAACUUAAAAGAAAAACCAGUCAACUUAAAAUAAAAGGAAAUCCAACGUAAUCCCUUCUCUCCCAAAUUAAUCACCUUUCACUCUCUCUAAUAUGUUUCCUUUCUCUCCUAUUUCGAUCACCUUCUUCCGUUAGUUUCUCCCGAGUGGCGUGGCGGCCAACCACCAUCAAUCCGAAAAUUCCACACAAACCCUUGUCUAAUUUACAUCCUAAACAUGAAUCCAUGCAUAUUUCUCUCUACUCCCCACCGAUUGUUCCGAUCAAGGUAUCACCCUCAACUUUGUCAAACCUAUUCUGAAUCGAUCAAACUAAUCGAUUAUCCACCUUCGAUACCAAAAAGGACACAUCAUACAAAGAGAUUUUUGCGAACAACAAAAGUCAAAGCUUGCAUCGCCUAUAUACAGAUCUAAAUCGCCAUUUAAUAAUAAACUACUAUGCUCAAAUAUUUGUUCUAAACCUUUAAAACCAGAGAGAAGAAAAUGUCAAUCGAAAAGUUUACCGAGGUAAUCAGAUCCCAGAAUAUCGAUGUUCCCCCCCCCCCCCCCAUUCAGUGAUUCCACGCUUCUUUUUAUAGAACUCAGAAUGUACUCCCCCUAAUCGUGAGUUGGCAAGGAUUGUAUCAUCAUUCAGUUAGAAUCAAAUCAUUCUCAGAUUUGGUGGGGACCAAAAUCGUGACAGGUAUGAAUUUUUUUCUCUUUGUAGCGUAACCUCCCAAUCUUCUAGAACCUGUGGUCCCUUAGAAACGAUUCUUACUGCUGAAAUUUUUACUCCUUCAUUUUGAUAUUCACUAAUGGGUUUACCGCAGUAGAAAGUUGAUUCCCGCUCUUUAACUAUCAUAUGCUUUCAACUCAUACUUUUGAACUGGGUUUGCAACAGGUAUAAAGGGUAAUAUUUCAUUGACCUAAGGCCUGCCGAUUUUGACUAGCUCGUCAUACUUUCCGCUGUUCUUUAUUUGGCUUGUAUCUCAUAUAAGUGCUCUGCCUUCACUUAUGUCUUACCUUGUUAUCACGUUAUGCUUGUUAUUGUUAAUUUGCAGGAUUCACAUUGGUGGCAUAACAGGUCUUUGUUCACUGCCUUGGUUGUGAAGCGGCUUGUACUUUGGCUUUAGGUUUAGUAUUGCAGGAUUUGCAGCAUUUGGCAACACUACUCUAUUUGUCACUAUCAUCUUUAACUCUGACGUAUCUCUCAAGAGCAACGUCCAUCUCAUACGGUCCUCCUUCUCCACUUACGGUUUUUAGCUUGCUAUUGCAAUUGAUGGAUGUGAGAUUUGAACGACGAUUGUGGAUGAUUCUAGAAGUUAAGGGUCGGUGGUGAAGAUUGCUUGACGAGAAGUGGCGAGGGGUGGAGCGUGGAGAGCGUGUGAGAUGGAUAAACAGUGUUGUCGUGGACGUAGACAUUAUUGCUGCCAUGUGGUUGUUCUGCAGUUUGUGGCACUUUUCUUGAAUUGCUUUCCUUUGUUUUGUCCCUUUUGGUCAUGUAAAGUUAUCAUUGCUGGUAUUGUAAAAUGACCAACAGUUUGGAUUUGUAAUAACUUUUAUUUAUUUGAUUAAAUUGGCUUAGGUGAAUGAGUUGAGAUUGGUUUGUGGCUUAUAGUUUUGCUUAGGUAAGAUGGUAAUUUAUGGCAAGGUACUAUGAAACUCAUGUUUCCUUGAUAUUUCGGAUGCCCAAAAGCUAUUGGGAGGCUACUGAGCGACUUAUGUAUCUUUUGCAAACCAGGAAGGCACAUAGUAAUCAAGACAUAUUAUUUAAAUGACCAAACUUGAAUGUACACAUGGAUAGCUAUAAAAACAAGAAUGAGAAGUCAACCUUAAGAUUAUUAUAAGGGUAGGGAUUCUAAGGUUAAAAAAGAUUCGAGUUGACUUUGGUCAAUAGUUGACCAAAAAGUCAACUGAUGGCCUAAAGUCAACAAAUGGUCAACACACUCUUCUUUGUAUUUUUUCCCGUGUAAUGCACUCUUUCAUGAUCAUGUAAUGAAUAACAUUUCCUUAUUUGAAUAAAAUUGAAUUUUGCCUCUCAA